Long non-coding RNA from Culex quinquefasciatus (southern house mosquito), 368 nucleotides. RefSeq lists it as uncharacterized. The transcript is spliced from 2 exons. The record is from RefSeq and is a predicted model, not a curated record. NCBI's taxonomy places the organism in Eukaryota, Metazoa, Arthropoda, Insecta, Diptera, Culicidae.
UUCAAUCUCAUUUCGCACGGUGUUCAUGUGAGAUGCAGAUGAAUUGCACAUCGAUUGGCCCCAAUCGACUUAUCCUUCUAUUUUGAAGUGAAAGUCACGUGAGAUCCAAAUUAUUUGCACUUUGAUUUGCCCCAAUCAACAUAUCCUUUGGGUUUGAAGUGGAAGUCACGUUAGAUUCAUAGGUUGAUGUUUGGAAAGCUGAAUGUCGAAAAAGUCGGUGAUUUCGUAAAGUAAGAUGGUGGCAAAGCGAAUGCUCGGUCUUUGAGCUCUAAAUUAAAACUAAGUUUUUACUAUAAAAUCCCAUCUGUAUCGAAAAUUUAUAGAAAAAAAAAAUCAUGGGAAUCACGAUCCGGAAUUGUAUUCUUAGA